This 65-nucleotide transfer RNA is filed under the name Cheironitis sp. MJTNT-2012. RNAcentral's name for it is "tRNA-Pro". Lineage: Eukaryota; Metazoa; Arthropoda; Insecta; Coleoptera; Scarabaeidae. The record is from RNAcentral.
CAGGAAGUAGUUUAUAAAAAAAUAUUAAUUUUGGAGAUUAACGAUGAAGUGAAUAUCCUCCCUGA